Non-coding RNA from Brassica rapa (field mustard), 107 nucleotides. The record is from Rfam. NCBI's taxonomy places the organism in Eukaryota, Viridiplantae, Streptophyta, Magnoliopsida, Brassicales, Brassicaceae.
AACCAUGGUGGGGGCAUUCGCUGCGGUAGUUAUUGAAGCGCUCCCAUACAUCACAGAAGGGCUCAUCAUGGAUCUGACUGAAUGUGGAGAUCUUGUUCCUCAAGGCU